This 484-nucleotide ribosomal RNA is filed under the name uncultured bacterium. RNAcentral's name for it is "partial 16S ribosomal RNA". It matches the Rfam family "Bacterial small subunit ribosomal RNA", at positions 28 to 507 of the family's 1533-position model. The record is from RNAcentral.
AUUGAACGCUGGCGGCAUGCUUUACACAUGCAAGUCGAACGGCAGCGCGGGCUUCGGCCUGGCGGCGAGUGGCGAACGGGUGAGUAAUGCAUCGGAACGUGCCCAGUAGUGGGGGAUAGCCCGGCGAAAGCCGGAUUAAUACCGCAUACGACCUGAGGGUGAAAGCGGGGGACCGAAAGGCCUCGCGCUAUUGGAGCGGCCGAAGUCGGAUUUGCUAGUUGGUGGGGUAAAGGCUUACCAAGGCGACGAUCCGUAGCUGGUCUGAGAGGACGACCAGCCACACUGGGACUGAGACACGGCCCAGACUCCUACGGGAGGCAGCAGUGGGGAAUUUUGGACAAUGGGGGCAACCCUGAUCCAGCCAUGCCGCGUGCGGGAAGAAGGCCUUCGGGUUGUAAACCGCUUUUGUUCGGGAAGAAAUCCUCUGGGCUAAUACCCCGGGGGGAUGACGGUACCGGAAGAAUAAGCACCGGCUAACUACGUG